AUUGAACGCUGGCGGCAGGCCUAACACAUGCAAGUCGAGCGGAUGAAGGGAGCUUGCUCCUGGAUUCAGCGGCGGACGGGUGAGUAAUGCCUAGGAAUCUGCCUGGUAGUGGGGGAUAACGUCCGGAAACGGGCGCUAAUACCGCAUACGUCCUGAGGGAGAAAGUGGGGGAUCUUCGGACCUCACGCUAUCAGGUGAGCCUAGGUCGAAUUAGCUAGUUGGUGGGGUAAAGGCCUACCAAGGCGACGAUCCGUAACUGGUCUGAGAGGAUGAUCAGUCACACUGGAACUGAGACACGGUCCAGACUCCUACGGGAGGCAGCAGUGGGGAAUAUUGGACAAUGGGCGAAAGCCUGAUCCAGCCAUGCCGCGUGUGUGAAGAAGGUCUUCGGAUUGUAAAGCACUUUAAGUUGGGAGGAAGGGCAGUAAGUUAAUACCUUGCUGUUUUGACGUUACCAACAGAAUAAGCACCGGCUAACUUCGUG
This 484-nucleotide ribosomal RNA is filed under the name uncultured bacterium. RNAcentral's name for it is "partial 16S ribosomal RNA". It matches the Rfam family "Bacterial small subunit ribosomal RNA", at positions 30 to 507 of the family's 1533-position model. The record is from RNAcentral.